Molecule: ribosomal RNA, 250 nt
Filed under: uncultured bacterium
Lineage: Bacteria
Description: partial 16S ribosomal RNA
Rfam family: Bacterial small subunit ribosomal RNA
Source: RNAcentral
GAUGAACGCUAGCGGCAGGCUUAAUACAUGCAAGUCGAGGGGCAGCAUGAACUAGCAAUAGUUUGAUGGCGACCGGCAAACGGGUGCGGAACACGUACACAACCUUCCUUUAAGUGGGGAAUAGCCCAGAGAAAUUUGGAUUAAUACCCCGUAACACAACGAAGUGGCAUCACUUUGUUGUUAUAGUUUCGGCGCUUAAUGAUGGGUGUGCGUAUGAUUAGAUAGUUGGCGAGGUAACGGCUCACCAAGU